GAUGAACGCUGGCGGCGUGCUUAACACAUGCAAGUCGAACGGAAAGGCCCAAGCUUGCUUGGGUACUCGAGUGGCGAACGGGUGAGUAACACGUGGGUGAUCUGCCCUGCACUUCGGGAUAAGCCUGGGAAACUGGGUCUAAUACCGGAUAGGACGAUGGUUUGGAUGCCAUUGUGGAAAGUUUUUUCGGUGUGGGAUGAGCUCGCGGCCUAUCAGCUUGCUGGUGGGGUAAUGGCCUACCAAGGCGUCGACGGGUAGCCGGCCUGAGAGGGUGUACGGCCACAUUGGGACUGAGAUACGGCCCAGACUCCUACGGGAGGCAGCAGUGGGGAAUAUUGCACAAUGGGCGCAAGCCUGAUGCAGCGACGCCGCGUGGGGGAUGACGGCCUUCGGGUUGUAAACUCCUUUCGCUAGGGACGAAGCGUUUUUGUGACGGUACCUGGAGAAGAAGCACCGGCUAACUACGUG
RNAcentral lists this ribosomal RNA (468 nucleotides) under uncultured bacterium. RNAcentral describes it as "partial 16S ribosomal RNA". It matches the Rfam family "Bacterial small subunit ribosomal RNA", at positions 28 to 507 of the family's 1533-position model. The record is from RNAcentral.